ACUAUAGUCUUGUUUUUGAUCUUAGGGUGUUCAAAUUAAUGAUCCACACCGUUAAAUAUGAUCUAGGGUAUAUGAAGUUCUUAGAAAUAAAAUUUUAGAUUUUUUCGACAUCGUUUACUUAGUAAAUAAAUUUUGUCAAAAUGGACGAUGAAAAUUGAAUAAUCUUUAAAAUUUGAACGUAGGACUUUUAAAUUCAAGAUCAAGAAUGUUAACCUUAAUCUAGAUAGUUUAAAGUAUUUUCUAUCAAAAUUUGAAGAAAUUUAGAUUCUUCUACACCAUUAAACUCCAAACUCACUAUAGUAGCCUUUGAAAAUUGACAAUUU
Molecule: long non-coding RNA, 323 nt
Filed under: Ananas comosus (pineapple)
Lineage: Eukaryota; Viridiplantae; Streptophyta; Magnoliopsida; Poales; Bromeliaceae
Description: long non-coding RNA (ACOM_LNC012345)
Source: RNAcentral